Molecule: ribosomal RNA, 462 nt
Filed under: rape rhizosphere bacterium cse008
Lineage: Bacteria
Description: bacterial SSU rRNA
Rfam family: Bacterial small subunit ribosomal RNA
Source: RNAcentral
GAGUGAACGCUGGCGGUAGGCCUAACACAUGCAAGUCGAACGGCAGCACAGUAAGAGCUUGCUCUUAUGGGUGGCGAGUGGCGGACGGGUGAGGAAUACAUCGGAAUCUACUUUUUCGUGGGGGAUAACGUAGGGAAACUUACGCUAAUACCGCAUACGACCUACGGGUGAAAGCAGGGGAUCUUCGGNCCUUGCGCGAUUGAAUGAGCCGAUGUCGGAUUAGCUAGUUGGCGGGGUAAAGGCCCACCAAGGCGACGAUCCGUAGCUGGUCUGAGAGGAUGAUCAGCCACACUGGAACUGAGACACGGUCCAGACUCCUACGGGAGGCAGCAGUGGGGAAUAUUGGACAAUGGGCGCAAGCCUGAUCCAGCCAUACCGCGUGGGUGAAGAAGGCCUUCGGGUUGUAAAGCCCUUUUGUUGGGAAAGAAAUCCAGCCGGCUAAUACCUGUUGGGAUGACGGUA